RNAcentral lists this ribosomal RNA (301 nucleotides) under uncultured bacterium. RNAcentral describes it as "partial 16S ribosomal RNA". It matches the Rfam family "Bacterial small subunit ribosomal RNA", at positions 509 to 807 of the family's 1533-position model. The record is from RNAcentral.
CAGUAGCCGCGGGAAUACAGAGGGUGCGAGCGUUAAUCGGAUUUACUGGGCGUAAAGCGUGCGUAGGCGGCUUCUUAAGUCGGAUGUGAAAUCCCUGAGCUUAACUUAGGAAUUGCAUUCGAUACUGGGAAGCUAGAGUAUGGGAGAGGAUGGUAGAAUUCCAGGUGUAGCGGUGAAAUGCGUAGAGAUCUUGAGGAAUACCGAUGGCGAAGGCAGCCAUCUGGCCUAAUACUGACGCUGAGGUACGAAAGCAUGGGGAGCAAACAGGAUUAGAUACCCGUGUAGUCCCUGUCUCUUAUAC